Molecule: ribosomal RNA, 497 nt
Filed under: uncultured bacterium
Lineage: Bacteria
Description: partial 16S ribosomal RNA
Rfam family: Bacterial small subunit ribosomal RNA
Source: RNAcentral
GAUGAACGCUGGCGGCGUGCCUAAUACAUGCAAGUCGAGCGAACGGACGAGAAGCUUGCUUCUCUGAUGUUAGCGGCGGACGGGUGAGUAACACGUGGAUAACCUACCUAUAAGACUGGGAUAACUUCGGGAAACCGGAGCUAAUACCGGAUAAUAUUUUGAACCGCAUGGUUCAAAAGUGAAAGACGGUCUUGCUGUCACUUAUAGAUGGAUCCGCGCUGCAUUAGCUAGUUGGUAAGGUAACGGCUUACCAAGGCAACGAUGCAUAGCCGACCUGAUAGGGGGAUCGGCCACACUGGAACUGGGACACGGUCCAGACUCCUACGGGAGGCAGCAGUAGGGAAUCUUCCGCAAUGGGCGAAAGCCUGACGGAGCAACGCCGCGUGAGUGAUGAAGGUCUUCGGAUCUUAAAACUCUGUUAUUAGGGAAGAACAUAUGUGUAAGUAACUGUGCACAUCUUGACGGUACCUAAUCAGAAAGCCACGGCUAACUACGUG